This 253-nucleotide ribosomal RNA is filed under the name uncultured bacterium. Its description in RNAcentral is "partial 16S ribosomal RNA". It matches the Rfam family "Bacterial small subunit ribosomal RNA", at positions 524 to 776 of the family's 1533-position model. The record is from RNAcentral.
UACGGGGGGGGCAAGCGUUGUUCGGAAUUACUGGGCGUAAAGGGCUCGUAGGUGGCCAACUAAGUCAGACGUGAAAUCCCUCAGCUUAACUGGGGAACUGCGUCUGAUACUGGAUGGCUUGAGGUUGGGAGAGGGAUGCGGAAUUCCAGGUGUAGCGGUGAAAUGCGUAGAUAUCUGGAGGAACACCGGUGGCGAAGGCGGCAUCCUGGACCGGCAUUGACGCUGAGGCGCGAAAGCCAGGGGAGCAAACGGG